UCUAUGAGAAGUUUCGGGAGCAACUCACAGGGUCAUUGGAAGGGCAAGAUCAGAGGCAGGCUGAUAGCCCUGUGUCUUCUCUAACUAACACACAACUCAGAAAGCAUCGGUGAGAACAGGGUAGUUUCAGAGGAGACCAUCAGCAGAGAUAAAAGCAGAGUCAAAGCCCUUGUACCCAGUGCAAUGCCAAGAGCAUCAUAUGUGUUUGAGAAUGUUUACAGGCUAAUUGGAUGAAUACAUGAAUGAACUGAAUUUACUUAUGACAAUGAGGUAGCAUUUCUAAAGCUCUUUGUAAGGACAAACACAAUGACGUUUAUCUUCAAAGUUGAACACCGGGAUCGACCACAUCCUAAAUCAUCACUCUCUUAUUUACCUCAUUUACAAUCUAUUUUUCUCUUGGU
This is a long non-coding RNA of Canis lupus familiaris (dog), 401 nucleotides long. RefSeq lists it as uncharacterized. The transcript has 3 exons. The record is from RefSeq and is a predicted model, not a curated record. NCBI's taxonomy places the organism in Eukaryota, Metazoa, Chordata, Mammalia, Carnivora, Canidae.